GCUUUCUUAGUUUGGCCAAUUCUACAAAACCCGCGAAUCAAACUUGUACACGGAAUAAUAUCAGGAAUAUCACCACCAUACACCAUACUCUCAAGGUGCUUAAAACUUUCUUCUAAUUCCCCAUUCCUGACCAACCGACGAAGAUAAUUAUUACUCUCAAAUUCCUCAAAGUUUUCAGAUAUGCUCCCUUGCACAUGUGGCCUCUUUUCAACACAUGAUAACCUACCAUUAGUGCCUAAAGUUUCACUUCUUGAAAUAGCAAAUACCUUACUUUGUCUCUGUUUUCUUAACUGCCCCACAACUACCUGUAUUGAACUGUAGCCUUCUUAGUUUGGCCAAUUCUACAAAACCCGCGAAUCAAACUUGUACAUGGAAUAAUAUCAGGAAUAUCACCACCAUACACCAUACUCUCAAGGUGCUUAAAACUUUCUUCUAAUUCCCCAUUCCUGACCAACCGGCGAAGAUAAUUAUUACUCUCAAAUUCCUCAAAGUUUUCAGAUAUGCUCCCUUGCACAUGUGGCCUCUUUUCAACACAUGAUAACCUACCAUUAGUGCCUAAAGUUUCACUUCUUGAAAUAGCAAAUACCUUACUUUGUCUCUGUUUUCUUAACUGCCCCACAACU
This 623-nucleotide long non-coding RNA is filed under the name Nicotiana benthamiana. RNAcentral's name for it is "long non-coding RNA (NBEN_LNC039384)". The record is from RNAcentral. Lineage: Eukaryota; Viridiplantae; Streptophyta; Magnoliopsida; Solanales; Solanaceae.